AGAAUCAACGCUGGCGGCGUGCCUAACACAUGCAAGUCGAACGAGAAAGUGGGAGCAAUCCCAUGAGUAAAGUGGCGCACGGGUGAGUAACACGUGACUAACCUACCCUUGAGUGGGGGAUAACCUAGGGAAACCUGGGCUAAUACCGCAUAAUACCUACGGGUCAAAGGAGCAAUUCGCUUUAGGAGGGGGUCGCGGCAGAUUAGUUAGUUGGCGGGGUAAUGGCCCACCAAGACAGUGAUCUGUAUCCGGCCUGAGAGGGCGCACGGACACACUGGAACUGAAACACGGUCCAGACUCCUACGGGAGGCAGCAGUGGGAAUUUUGCGCAAUGGGGGAAACCCUGACGCAGCAACGCCGCGUGGAGGAUGAAGCCCCUUGGGGCGUAAACUCCUUUCGAUCGGAAGAUAAUGACGGUACCGGAAGAAGAAGCCCGGCUAACUUCGCGCCAGCAGCCGC
Molecule: ribosomal RNA, 459 nt
Filed under: uncultured bacterium
Lineage: Bacteria
Description: SSU rRNA
Rfam family: Bacterial small subunit ribosomal RNA
Source: RNAcentral